RNAcentral lists this ribosomal RNA (428 nucleotides) under uncultured bacterium. RNAcentral's name for it is "bacterial SSU rRNA". It matches the Rfam family "Bacterial small subunit ribosomal RNA", at positions 355 to 776 of the family's 1533-position model. The record is from RNAcentral.
UGGGGAAUCUUCCGCAAUGGGCGAAAGCCUGACGGAGCAACGCCGCGUGAAUGAAGAAGGCCUUCGGGUCGUAAAGUUCUGUCAUAUGGGAAGAAAGUCAUAUUGCGAACAGUUAUAUGAUUGACGGUACCAUAAGAGGAAGCUCCGGCUAACUACGUGCCAGCAGCCGCGGUAAUACGUAGGGAGCAAGCGUUGUCCGGAAUUACUGGGCGUAAAGGGCGCGUAGGCGGGGACUUAAGUCAGGUGUGAAAACUCCAAGCUCAACUUGGAGACUGCACUUGAAACUAAGUUUCUUGAGGGCAGGAGAGGAAAGUGGAAUUCCUAGUGUAGCGGUGAAAUGCGUAGAUAUUAGGAGGAACACCAGUGGCGAAGGCGACUUUCUGGACUGUACCUGACGCUGAGGCGCGAAAGCGUGGGGAGCGAACGGG